This 1181-nucleotide long non-coding RNA is filed under the name Oryctolagus cuniculus (rabbit). RNAcentral describes it as "lncRNA (ENSOCUG00000038505.1)". The record is from RNAcentral. Lineage: Eukaryota; Metazoa; Chordata; Mammalia; Lagomorpha; Leporidae.
CCGGCGCCUUCGCCUGUUCUCCAGGCUUCGAGUGCCACCUAUCUGUCUGGCCCACCAAUGCGCCCUGGUCGCCGCCGGCUACCCCGCACCCCAGCGCCUCCCGGGUCCCGGAACUCGGGCUCCUCACCUUUGCCCCUGGUCGUCCUCGACGCCCCCAGCCCGCGCCCCUCUCCCUGCGCCUCCCCGUUCCCCUGCGCGGGCAGAAGCCGCCGUCACCUCCUUCCCGGACAUCGCGUUCGCUCUUGUUGGGCUUCAGAUGAGAAAAGCAGAUCUUUCCUGGCCUGGCUUGGAGCGCUUGGAAGCGCAGGGGAGGAAGGGCUUCUGUGUUUAACGCUCCCGCCAGGGGCCCAGCCGCUGCGUCUGGGAAUCUCCGUGGACCCCUGCCCAGGACCCCGCCGGGCUGGGGACACGGUGAAUUCAUGAUGCGUGGCUAGGGAAGGGAGACCCUGUCCCCAGCCUGCACGCUUCGGAUUCCACCCCGGGCAUGGAUCCUCCUUGGCUGGGCACUCUCCUGCUUUACAACUGUGAAAGUUUUCCGUGUGUGUGUGUGUGUGCGCGCGCGUGUGUAUUAAAAAAAAAAAAAAACUGGCUUCGUCCGCGGGGACAAAGGCCACGGCUCGAGGGAGCAGCGGGCCUCACGGUCGCCGGCAAUGGUCAGCUACCGCAGCCUGCAGGGCCCAGCGACUCCGUGAUUUGUAGAUUGAAGAUGGGGACAUGGCCACGGACAAGGUGGAGGACAUCUGUGCAGCCACACGGUUGUUCACAGCAAGUGAGAGCUGAACCCGGUUCCCAAACUCUAUACGUAAAUUUGUCUUCAACAGGGGUGGGCGCUGGGGCACGGCCAGGUAAGCUGCUGCUUGCAAUGCUUGUAUCCCCUGUUACAGCACUGGUUUGAGUCCCGGCUACUCUGCUUCCAAUCCAGCUUCCUGUUAAUGUGCUUGGGAAGCAGUGGAGGAUGACCCAAGUGCUUGGGCUUCUGUUAACCACAUGGGAGACCUGGAAGUUGUUCCUGGCUUCUGGCUUUGGUCUGGCCCAGCCCUGGCUAUUGUGGGCAUUUGGGGAUGCACAGCAAAUGGAAGCCAUCUCUCUCUCUCUCUCUCUCUCUCUCUGUGUGUGUGUCACUCUGCCUUUCAAAUUAAAAAAAUUAAAAUAUCUAAAAUAAAUAAAUAAAUUUUUCUUCA